GCCGGAGUGGCGGAAUAGGUAGACGCAAGGGACUUAAAAUCCCUCGGACGAUUUAACGUCCGUACCGGUUCGAUUCCGGUCUCCGGCACCA
This 91-nucleotide transfer RNA is filed under the name Bacillota bacterium. RNAcentral's name for it is "Firmicutes bacterium (anaerobic digester metagenome) tRNA-Leu". It matches the Rfam family "tRNA". From Rfam's summary of the family: Transfer RNA (tRNA) molecules are approximately 80 nucleotides in length. Their secondary structure includes four short double-helical elements and three loops (D, anti-codon, and T loops). Further hydrogen bonds mediate the characteristic L-shaped molecular structure. tRNAs have two regions of fundamental functional importance: the anti-codon, which is responsible for specific mRNA codon recognition, and the 3' end, to which the tRNAs corresponding amino acid is attached (by aminoacyl-tRNA synthetases). tRNAs cope with the degeneracy of the genetic code in two manners: having more than one tRNA (with a specific anti-codon) for a particular amino acid; and 'wobble' base-pairing, i.e. permitting non-standard base-pairing at the 3rd anti-codon position. Lineage: Bacteria; Bacillati; Bacillota. The record is from RNAcentral.